Molecule: long non-coding RNA, 1855 nt
Organism: Podarcis raffonei (Aeolian wall lizard)
Lineage: Eukaryota; Metazoa; Chordata; Lepidosauria; Squamata; Lacertidae
Exons: 4
Source: RefSeq, a predicted model, not a curated record
AAAAAGAAAAAGAAAUUAGCUAAGGUUUUUAAAGGAGAUUUUCCAGAGCUUUGGGCCCCACCUAACACUCUGGUGAAAGAAAAUGGUGUUUUUUAAAUUUUUUGUUGACUUGGGAUCAUUGCAUAUGUCACAGAAUAGAAAAUAUUCAACAUGGAGCUAACUUAAGCCGUAUUCAGUCACUCUUAUAACUGUGUUGAAGCAAUUUGUCCUUCUCUUUGGCAUCUCCAAUUCUGACCUUCCUGCAGUGAUCAAGAAGGUAUAACACAAAGCCUCUUUUCAAUCCAGGACUGUGUUAAUGCGUAGAACAGGUGUAAACACUUAGAAUCUGGUUUCAGACACGUUCCCAUCCAACACAGGGGUUAAAUGGACAUAGACAUGGGAUGUUGGGAAUGGGGGCCAGCAUGUGCCCCCCCCCAGCUCCCCAUACCAAUUGAGAGGAGAAGCAAGGAAAAUUGGGGGCAUUCGCUAGAGAACAUACAGUGGUAAUAUUUUGGCUGUCAACAGCUUAUGAAAGACUGCUCAAAAAGAAACGGAUGGGACUUCAGAAAUUCCAAAGCAUAUGGAUUUUGAGGUUUACGUCACGAGCGGUGCGCUUUGCGAAUGUGUGAACCUUCCAAGUCAUCCACGUUCUGAUGAGAGUGAAAUCCCUACGGAUGUCUGCUCAGAAGACUCAUCCAGUUCAAUAGAUCUUUCUUCCAGGUAAGUGUGUUAUAGGACUGUAGUGUCAAUGUGGAGCUAUAUCCAGAAAACACUGGCAUAGGGAAACGAUUGAGCAUUCUUAGAAGAAUGCUGAAUACAGUGGUACCUCGGGUUAAGUACUUAAUUCGUUCCGGAGGUCCGUUCUUAACCUGAAACUGUUCUUAACCUGAAGCACCACUUUAGCUAAUGGGUCCUCCUGCUGCUGCCAUGCCGCCAGAGCACGAUUUCUGUUCUCAUCCUGAAGCAAAGUUCUGAACCUGAAGCACUAUUUCUGGGUUAGCGGAGUCUGUAACCUGAAGCGUAUGUAACCUGAGGUACCUCUGUAUUCUUUUCUUAUUGUGUCCCGUUCUCUACUAGCUCAUAGUUUUUGCACUGCCAAAGCUAUACAGACUUUUAGAAAACGUGUCUGAUUAGUGGAAAAUGUCAAGUGUCUUGUGAAUGACUUAAGCGCGCACAAUGGAUUCUUCACGUAGCCCCUUUAAUCCUAAACUUCCUCUAUUAACACUUAAGGAAAGUUAAAGGUUUUCUCAUGUGUUAAAAGAGGGGUGUGUGUGUUUUCUACCAACUGCUAAACGUUCUUAGUAUACGGAUGCCCAGUUCGUUUUUCCUUCUGAGACAUCUUUUUUAAAAAGAAGAAGAAAGAAUUACUAGCGCAGUUGGAAAGCAGAUGUGCCUAUAUAGGGAUCACAUAUGUGAAUUCAUUCAGCAUAGUUAAAACAGGCAGAGAAAUCUAUGACUACUGUAAGGAAACCCCAAACACGUUGCAAGGAAAUGAUCCAAAAGGAAAGAAGAGAACUGAAAGCUGAGGAUUGUGCACCAUCUAAGGGUACCCAAUAGGAACUCACUUCAGCUCCUGCCGCUGUGAGGGUCAAAAUGGCUUAGUGUGUUCGAUUAAGACUGGAAAACGCCAGGAUCAAAUUCUUUUCGCAAUUACAUUCUGUGGCUAGUUGCCAACUCAUCAACAACCUACGUCAUGGGGUGGUUGUGAGGAGGUGGGUUGGGCUUCCUCAAGGAAAGGCAGUACAGUCGUACCUUGGAAGUCGAACGGAAUCCUUUCCGGAAGUCCGUUUGACUUCCAAAACGUUCGGAAACCAAAGCGCAGCUUCUGGUUGGCUGCAGGAAGCUCCUGCAGCCAAUCGGAAGCCACGGAAGCCCC